This is a long non-coding RNA of Arabidopsis thaliana (thale cress), 334 nucleotides long. RefSeq annotates it as other RNA. NCBI's taxonomy places the organism in Eukaryota, Viridiplantae, Streptophyta, Magnoliopsida, Brassicales, Brassicaceae. The transcript has a single exon. The record is from RefSeq.
AGCUUUUUGCUCCAAUCAUUGCGAUGCUCACUCUCAAAUAGCUUCAUAAACAUCUCCAUCUUCUUCAAUUUGUUUGCCUCUUCUGUCUCUUGGCAAUUUUUUCCAAGUUUUCUAACUCUUUCUCUUUCAAUUGCUUGAAAUCAUUUCACUCUUCAUUAACGACUUCCAAGCAUGCAUCACCCUUACCUUUUUUUUAACUUUCUUUUUAGACGCAUCCCUCCCCAUGGGACGAGCACUAGAUCCUACAGAGUUUGAGUCACUUGCAUUAGGAUUGUGAGCUCUCUUAGAUCCACUGCUUCCAGACCCCGUUUUUCCUCCUACCUGACUACUAUAG